Long non-coding RNA from Oncorhynchus tshawytscha (Chinook salmon), 643 nucleotides. The record is from Ensembl. Lineage: Eukaryota; Metazoa; Chordata; Actinopteri; Salmoniformes; Salmonidae.
GUCAGAACCACAGGGAGUCAGUUAGCAGGUCAGAGCCACAGGAGUCAGUUAGCAGGUUGGAACCACAGGGAGACAGUUAGCAGGUUGGAGACACAGGGGAGAGGGUUAGCAGGUUGGAGCCACAGGGAGUCAGUUAGCAGGUCAGAGCCACAGGGAGACAGUUAGCAGGUCAGAGCCACAGGGAGACAAUUAGCAGGUCAGAGCCACAGGGAGACAGUUAACAGGUCAGAGCCACAGGGAGACAGUUAGCAGGUCAGAGCCACAGGGAGACAGUUAGCAGGUCAGAGCCACAGGGAGUGAGCUAGCAGGUCAGAGCCACAGGGAGUCAGUUAGCAGGUCGGAGCCACAGGGAGUCAGUUAGCAGGUCAGAGUCAGAGGGAAACAGUUAGCAGGUUGGAGCCACAGGGAGUCAGUUAGCAGGUCAGAGCCACAGGGAGCCAGUUACCAGGUCAGAGCCACAGGGAGCCAGUUAGCAGGUCAGAGCCACAGGGAGCCAGUUAGCAGGUCAGAGCAACAGGGAGACAGUUAGCAGGUCAGAGCCACAGGGAGACAAUUAGCAGGUCAGAGCCACAGGGAGUCAGUUAGCAGGUCGGAGUCACAGGGAGACAGUUAGCAGGUCGGAGUCACAGGGAGUCAGUUAGCA